This is a non-coding RNA of Triticum aestivum (bread wheat), 137 nucleotides long. NCBI's taxonomy places the organism in Eukaryota, Viridiplantae, Streptophyta, Magnoliopsida, Poales, Poaceae. The record is from Rfam.
CUUGUACUCCCUCUGUUCCAAAAUUCUUGUCUUAUAGAUUUGUCUAAAUAUGGAUGUAUCAAGUCACGCUUUAGUAUUAGAUACAUCCGUAUCUAGACAAAUGUAAGACAAGAAUUUUGGGACAGAGGGAGUAUAAG